Molecule: long non-coding RNA, 1143 nt
Filed under: Sus scrofa (pig)
Lineage: Eukaryota; Metazoa; Chordata; Mammalia; Artiodactyla; Suidae
Description: lncRNA (ENSSSCG00060076018.1)
Source: RNAcentral
CAUCUCUGUGAUCUUACCACCUCCUCCUCCUCUUCGGUCUUAAAGAACAUAUCUGGCCACACAGGGCAUUUCCAUGGAUAUCCCCAGCCCGCUCUCCCUAGCGUGCUUUUCUGGAUUUCUCUCCUUCACCGUCUCCACCUGUCUGACCUGUAUGCUACUUCAUUCACGCUUCCUACCCGUGAGACCCAAUCUGCCACCCCGCUACGUUCAUAUAGAACAUUGUUGGCUCCCAUUCUGUAUCUAUAUCAUGUGACAUUUAAAGGCUCUAUUAGCUUGACGUUUGCUUAUUUACAUAGUUAAGGUGUAAUGCAAUUUAAAAUAUUCUUGCAAAUAUAAAGGACGUAUAUUCCAGAGGCUGACAUUUGUUCUUUCACCUGAUUAAAAAUACAGAUGUUCUUCAAACCAGCAAUCAAAGGAGUCUUAACGUUCAGGCGUUGCAUGAACUGGGAAAUCUUCUCGUCUUCGCACAAAAGAAAAGGGAUGCUUUUAAAUGCUGGCGUCAAGCUCUUGACAGCAUAUUCAGGAAAGAAGACGUGCUCCGUACAUGGAAGGAGUUUGGCGCCUCCCUCACCCAUGCCACCCACAGCUCUUCACCUCCGGUUUCCAAAGACUACAGUGAGGAGUUUCUGGCGAAAGUUGGCAUUUGGGGAUGUUUGCAAGGAGCGGUGAUAUCUGCAAAGAUUGCACAGUGAGUGUGACUGUGGUGUGAUCUGUGUAAGAGCUGUCGCCUCCCUUUGUGGGCUGCCCACCUGUGCAACGUGGAGCGCCACGCCCCACAUGCGCGGUUCUUGGGCAGCUGUGUCCAUGCCAUAUGGGGUUAUAUGGUUUACUUAUUUGUGAUGUUUUUUGUUUAUGGCCACCUCCCCUUCCUAUAACACCUCCCGGCCCUGGGAUGUGAGCACCACGUGGGCACAGGUCCUUGCUUUGUUCUCCAGUGUAUCUGAGCGCCGGGCGUGGAGAUGGGAUUCAAUAAUUACUUGUUGAAUGAACAAAUACGUGGAUGAACAGUGGAUACAUGAGCAAGAAUAACAGCGUGGGGGCAGGCCGAUGGCUUGGACCGAAUGUCAGAGCCUGUUGAUAACUCUGGGGCCCUCGGCCUCUCAUUCACUCUCUCCUCCAUCCUACGCCACCACCACAGCAAUG